GGGCCCGCACAAGCGGUGGAGCAUGUGGUUUAAUUCGAUGCAACGCGAAGAACCUUACCAGGGCUUGACAUACUACAAAUUCUUUUGAGAAAGAGAAGUGCCUUCGGGAAUGUAGAUACAGGUGGUGCAUGGCUGUCGUCAGCUCGUGUCGUGAGAUGUUGGGUUAAGUCCCGCAACGAGCGCAACCCUUAUUUUUAGUUACCAAUUCGUUGGGUUUUUUAGAAAGACUGCCGGUGACAAACCGGAGGAAGGUGAGGAUGACGUCAAGUCAGCAUGCCCCUUAUGUCCUGGGCUACACACGUGCUACAAUGGUUAAGACAAUGAGUUGCGAACUCGUGAGAGUAAGCU
Molecule: ribosomal RNA, 348 nt
Filed under: uncultured bacterium
Lineage: Bacteria
Description: bacterial SSU rRNA
Rfam family: Bacterial small subunit ribosomal RNA
Source: RNAcentral